RNAcentral lists this ribosomal RNA (254 nucleotides) under uncultured bacterium. Its description in RNAcentral is "partial 16S ribosomal RNA". It matches the Rfam family "Bacterial small subunit ribosomal RNA", at positions 524 to 776 of the family's 1533-position model. The record is from RNAcentral.
UACGGGGGGGGGCAAGCGUUGUUCGGAAUUACUGGGCGUAAAGGGCUCGUAGGCGGCCAACUAAGUCAGACGUGAAAUCCCUCGGCUUAACCGGGGAACUGCGUCUGAUACUGGAUGGCUUGAGGUUGGGAGAGGGAUGCGGAAUUCCAGGUGUAGCGGUGAAAUGCGUAGAUAUCUGGAGGAACACCGGUGGCGAAGGCAGGUCUCUGGGCUGACACUGACGCUCAUGCACGAAAGCGUGGGGAGCGAACAGG